RNAcentral lists this transfer RNA (72 nucleotides) under Lachnospiraceae bacterium. RNAcentral describes it as "tRNA-Gln". It matches the Rfam family "tRNA". Rfam says of the family: Transfer RNA (tRNA) molecules are approximately 80 nucleotides in length. Their secondary structure includes four short double-helical elements and three loops (D, anti-codon, and T loops). RNAcentral also lists the same sequence under 1 other name. Lineage: Bacteria; Bacillati; Bacillota; Clostridia; Lachnospirales; Lachnospiraceae. The record is from RNAcentral.
UGGGCUGUCGCCAAGUGGUAAGGCAAUGGAUUCUGACUCCAUCAUUCGCAGGUUCAAAUCCUGCCAGCCUAG